This is a long non-coding RNA of Gallus gallus (chicken), 1673 nucleotides long. NCBI's taxonomy places the organism in Eukaryota, Metazoa, Chordata, Aves, Galliformes, Phasianidae. The record is from Ensembl.
CUAACCACCACAUCCACGGCAGCGAUCCCUUAAGUGGUGGUGAUAUUAUUAUUUUAUUAUUGCCAGCCAGUGGCUUUAAAGGUGCAUUAUUUUAAUGCAUUAUUAAUUGUUUUCCCAGGGAGAGAAGGAAACUGGGGAUAGGGCUUAUUAUUAUUAAUAGCGAGGAGAUCACUCGCUCCUUUCGCGCACGACGAGGAGAGCGGUGGGAGGAGGCAGCGCCGGAGGGAGGCGGCAGCGGAGCGCACCCCGCUCUCAGGCUCGUUGCGCGGCCGCGGGAACCACCCGCGGGGGCCCGGCGCAGCCCUCGCCUCUCCCUCCCUGUGCCCCCACCCUCGCCCUGUUGCCCUAGCCUUCGGGCGGAAAGUUCCGCGGGCAGCGGCCAACCUCGUGCCUGCCCAAAGCAGCCCCUCGGCAUCCCCCCCAGCUCCAGCCCCAGCCCCAGUCAUAGCUCCGCGCGGGCGGCGUGUCUCCGCGGGCGCCGAAGUUGCGGCAGGGCCGGGGGGCCUCUGCGACUGCCAGCCAUCAAGUGGCUCGUUAAGGAAAUGCAGCUCCUUCGGGGCCUGUGUGGACUAGGGGCACAACCCGGCGCCUGACUGGCAGGAGGGAAAGCGGAGACUCCUUCAGGUUUCCAAAGAGGUCCGAGUGGACUGCAUUAGAAAUUAAUGUGACAUGAGCAGAAAUGCCUAACAUCAGCAAUGGGAGAAGGACAGCGUUCAGAGUUGCUUUCAGUGAAGUCCUGUGGGAAUGAGAACUAGUAAAUUCUGAAACGAGGCAUUUAAACAGUUGUAUAGGUGUCUAUUCAUUGUUACUGGGAAGAAAAGUCCCAUCUUUCAAGCGUGACAGAUGUGUACAGACAUUAAUGAAACAGAAACUAAAGUGUUAAUUGGAUUAUAUUUCCCUGAAAUGCAUAAUACAUCUCUUUAAAUCCCUAAAGCCCUUUACUUUUCUGUAGAGGCACAACUCAGUUACAAUUUUCAGUUGUAAAAGGAAAAACAGGAGCGAUUGGAGUGCCAAAUUGGUCAGUUUUAUGAAGCAAACAUGCUUACUAGAGAACAGCAUGGAACUGCAAAGCUGUUCAACUGCUUCUAACAACUAUCAGUUUAUGCCUCCCAUCAGCAAAGAUUUCACAGAGAAAGGAGUGGAAAGGAAACUAGAGGGAAAAAUACUCUUCAACAAACCCCUUCAGCCAAGGAAUCAGGUCUUUGUCUCAUCUCUUCUACAACACAAUUCCAGAAGUGCUUCCUUGCUAACCCCCUUGCAGAAAUCGUAAAGUAUAGUGAACUCCUGAUUGAUUAUAAAUACGAACAUUAACAUGAUUGGUGUAUUUCAGUAGCUAUAAGCAAAUUGUAUCUGCAAAACUACACUGAAAAAAGAUAUUUCUCUCAUUCAUAUUAUUAGUAGAUUAAUGGAAAAGAACACAUUUUUCUUCAAAAUGUUAAAUGGAGUGUUACUUCAACUACGUACCUGAUUUAGAUAAACUCUUGUUAUUAUUAUUAUAUACAUUCAGAACAAUUAAUGUAAAUAAUAGUGUCAUUAUUUGAAUGUUAAGAUUAGUGAAAUUACAGAGGAAAUUUUCUGUAAAUCCAGUGAUGCAUGUUGUGGACUGAAACUAUUCUAGUCUUUGUAUUAUUUUAAUUAACAAUAAAUUAACAUUAUAUUCUCAUGACUUUUGC